Long non-coding RNA from Mus musculus (house mouse), 1087 nucleotides. RefSeq annotates it as predicted gene, 57556. NCBI's taxonomy places the organism in Eukaryota, Metazoa, Chordata, Mammalia, Rodentia, Muridae. The transcript has 2 exons. The record is from RefSeq and is a predicted model, not a curated record.
GCUAGCGCUAGACAGCAUGGGAUUGGGGGGAGGUGCGGGGAGGAACCGAGGGGUGUCUGGGGCAGGGCUAGGGUGGGUUAGGGGAAAACGCUGAGUGGAGUGGGGACACAGCUAAUGGAACGCUUUCAUUUUAGUUCUUUUCCGUUGCGAUAGGAGCCAUGAUGGCAGCACGAAAAGCAAAAACUAUUGGCGUAAGUUUGUUGAGGGCGGUGCGGUCUUGAAUAUCUAUUCAAGAGCCCUAUCAGAAAGGCCACCACUGUGCAAUUCCUCGUUAGUAUAGUGCUAUAAGUACCAAAACCGAAAUAAAACAUUAACAUCUGAGAAGCGAAUUAUGACACGUGCACUGACCACAGUGGCAAUAAUAGAACAGCGGCAAGUCUACUGUGAAAAUCAAAGGAAUGUUGAAAGAUGCUUGGCAAUUUAAUUCUAAACAACUUUUAAGGAGACCUGAGAAAUGAGAAACAGCCUGUGUUAUUCAACAAAACAGAUCACACCAGAUUAAGUUCCUGAAAAGGGCUUGUAACAUUGCAAACAUUGUAUGUUUUGAAAGACAGGAUAACACCUCUUCUACCGCUUGCAAAGACUUCUCAUCCCCACCCCCCCACCCCCCCACCCCCCCACCCCCGUCUUGCUUCACGUAGACUUCCUGCGAGUGUUUAGUGUAAUUUUCAGAUACUAAGUGCACUCUGCCACACUAGCCGCCUAGGAAAGGGCUGUGGGGACGAGGGAUCUGUAUUCAAACUAGUGAUUAAUGUUCACUCCGCUGCCAGAUGCUCCCGUGAUGACCUAAUCCAUCAUGGUGCUUGGCUGCAAGACAGGGCCCAGGGAGCAUGAUACAUGAAGUUCUGGAGGGGCAAGUAUGACCUCUUUGGGAAGGGUCAGGAGUAACAGCAUAGAGAGCAAAACAUCUGAGGUGGGCUUUGAAAGCCAUGAGGAGAGCAGAGAAACCAAGGAAACAGCAGGAACUGAAAACGGAGGCAUUGGCUGAAACAGCGGGGCUGGGGAUGUGGGGAGAACAAUUCUAGGUAUUCAAAACCCAACUGUUUAACGGAAAUCCUUUAACCACACAUUAAAGUUUCUUUGUGUA